RNAcentral lists this ribosomal RNA (252 nucleotides) under uncultured bacterium. RNAcentral describes it as "partial 16S ribosomal RNA". It matches the Rfam family "Bacterial small subunit ribosomal RNA", at positions 524 to 776 of the family's 1533-position model. The record is from RNAcentral.
GACGAACCGUGCGAACGUUGUUCGGAAUCACUGGGCUUAAAGGGCGCGUAGGCGGGUGCCCAAGUCCGGGGUGAAAGCCCCAGCUUAACUGGGGAACUGCCUCGGAUACUGGGCGUCUGGAGGGGGGUAGGGGUACACGGAACGCUGGGUGGAGCGGUGAAAUGCGUUGAUAUCCAGCGGAACUCCGGUGGCGAAAGCGGUGUACUGGACCCCCCCUGACGCUGAGGCGCGAAAGCCAGGGGAGCGAACGGG